Molecule: ribosomal RNA, 808 nt
Filed under: uncultured Microgenomates group bacterium
Lineage: Bacteria
Description: bacterial SSU rRNA
Rfam family: Bacterial small subunit ribosomal RNA
Source: RNAcentral
CUAAGGGAAGAGCCCGCGGCCUAUCAGGUAGUUGGUGGGGUAAUAGCCUACCAAGCCGAUGACGGGUAGCUGGUCUGGGAGGACGGACAGCCAGAGAGGGACUGAGAUACGGCCCUCACUCCUACGGGAGGGAGCAACCAGGAAUAUUGCGCAAUGGGCGAAAGCCUGACGCAACGACACCGCGUGCGGGAAGACAGCCUAAGGGUUGUAAACCGCUGUGGGAAGGGAAAAAAUCUACCUUUGGUGGAUUGACGGUACCUUGCUAAAAAGUGGCUGCUAACUUCGUGGCAAAAACCUCGGUCAUACGGGGGCCACAAGCGUUAUCCGGAAUUACUGGGUGUAAAGAGACGUGUAGGCGGGUCGAAAAGUCAUGUUUAAAAUUCCAAGGGUUAACCUUGGAUCCGGCAUGAUACUCUCGGACUUCUAGUUUAUCUCAGGAAAGUGGAACGUUCUUUGUAGCGGUAAAAUGCGUUGAUAAAGAACGGAACACCAACGGCGAAGGCGACUUUCUGGAGAUUAACUGACGCUGAGACUCCCAAAGCUAUGGGAGCGAAAGGGAAUAUAAGACCCCUGUAGUCCUAGCCCUAAAUGCAUGUCUGCUAAUGGUUCUCGUCCCUUUGGGACAGGGAGCGGCGUAAGCUAACGCGUUAGCAGACACCUGGGGGACUACGAGCGCAAGCUUAUACUCAAUGAGUAGGCGCGGACCCACACAACGAGUGGGAGCAUGUGGGUCAUUUCUACACGAACCGAGAACUCACCAGCGUGUACAUACUAUUGCACGCCUGUGAAGCGGGGAAGCCUUAAAGGA